GAAGGCGCUCUGCUGGGCCAUCACUGACGCUCAUGGACGAAAGCCAGGGGAGCGAAAGGGAUUAGAUACCCCUGUAGUCCUGGCCGUAAACGAUGAACACUAGGUGUCGGGGGAAUCGACCCCCUCGGUGUCGUAGCCAACGCGUUAAGUGUUCCGCCUGGGGAGUACGCACGCAAGUGUGAAACUCAAAGGAAUUGACGGGGGCCCGCACAAGCGGUGGAGUAUGUGGUUUAAUUCGAUGCAACGCGAAGAACCUUACCAGGGUUUGACAUCCUGCGAAUCUCUUGGAAACGAGAGAGUGCCUUCGGGAACGCAGUGACAGGUGGUGCAUGGCUGUCGUCAGCUCGUGUCGUGAGAUGUUGGGUUAAGUCCCGCAACGAGCGCAACCCACGUCUUUAGUUGCCAGCAUUCAGUUGGGCACUCUAGAGAGACCGCCGGUGAUAAACCGGAGGAAGGUGUGGAUGACGUCAAGUCAUCAUGCCCCUUACAUCCUGGGCUACACACGUACUACAAUGCUACGGACAAAGGGCAGCAAGUUCGCGAGGACAAGCAAAUCCCAUAAACCGUGGCUCAGUUCAGAUCGUAGGCUGCAACUCGCCUACGUGAAGGAGGAAUCGCUAGUAAUCGCAGGUCAGCAUACUGCGGUGAAUACGUUCCCGGGCCUUGUACACACCGCCCGUCACACCAUGGAAGUUGGCCACGCCCGAAGCCGUUACUCCAACCCUUGUGGAGGAGGACGUCGAAGGUGGGGCUGAUGACUGGGGUGAAGUCGUAACAAGGUAACCGUA
This 788-nucleotide ribosomal RNA is filed under the name uncultured bacterium. RNAcentral's name for it is "bacterial SSU rRNA". It matches the Rfam family "Bacterial small subunit ribosomal RNA", at positions 717 to 1504 of the family's 1533-position model. The record is from RNAcentral.